UUGACCAUAUCAUGGCAAAACAUUGGUUCUCAUAUGAUCACUGAAGUUAAGCAACAUUGAACCUGACCAGUACCUUGAUAUGUGACCAUUUGGGAAUAACAGGUGC
This is a non-coding RNA of Acanthosepion pharaonis, 106 nucleotides long. The record is from the annotation of a GenBank genome assembly. NCBI's taxonomy places the organism in Eukaryota, Metazoa, Mollusca, Cephalopoda, Sepiida, Sepiidae.